GUUGUAUGGUUAAGUGACUAAGCGUACACGGUGGAUGCCUUGGCAGUCAGAGGCGAUGAAAGGCGUAAUAACUUGCGAUAAGCCCAGAUUAGGUAGUAAUAACCUUUUGAGUCUGGGAUUCCUGAAUGGGGAAACCCACUUACAUAAGUAAGUAUCCUGUUGUGAAUACAUAGCAACAGGAGGCAAACCGGGGGAACUGAAACAUCUAAGUACCCGAGGAAGAGAAAUCAACCGAGAUUCCGAAAGUAGCGGCGAGCGAAAUUGGAUUAGCCCUUAAGCUUUUAAUGAUGCAGGUGAAGAGUCUGGAAAGUCUCGCAAUAAAGGGUGAUAGCCCCGUAACCGACACAUCAUAAUCAGUGAAAACGAGUAGGGCGGGACACGUGAUAUCCUGUCUGAAUAUGGGGGGACCAUCCUCCAAGGCUAAAUACUACUGACUGACCGAUAGUGAACCAGUACCGUGAGGGAAAGGCGAAAAGAACCCCUGUGAGGGGAGUGAAAUAGAACCUGAAACCGUGUACGUACAAGCAGUAGGAGCACCUUCGUGGUGUGACUGCGUACCUUUUGUAUAAUGGGUCAGCGACUUAAUUUUAGUAGCAAGGUUAACCGUUUAGGGGAGCCGUAGGGAAACCGAGUCUUAACUGGGCGUACAGUUGCUAGGAUUAGACCCGAAACCAGGUGAUCUAGCCAUGGGCAGGUUGAAGGUUGAGUAACAUCAACUGGAGGACCGAACCGACUAAUGUUGAAAAAUUAGCGGAUGACUUGUGGCUAGGGGUGAAAGGCCAAUCAAACCUGGAGAUAGCUGGUUCUCCCCGAAAGCUAUUUAGGUAGCGCCUCGGACGAAUACUACUGGGGGUAGAGCACUGUUAAGGCUAGGGGGUCAUCCCGACUUACCAACCCUUUGCAAACUCCGAAUACCAGUAAGUACUAUCCGGGAGACACACGGCGGGUGCUAACGUCCGUCGUGGAGAGGGAAACAACCCAGACCGCCAGCUAAGGUCCCAAAGUAUAGCUAAGUGGGAAACGAUGUGGGAAGGCUCAGACAGCCAGGAUGUUGGCUUAGAAGCAGCCAUCAUUUAAAGAAAGCGUAAUAGCUCACGGUCGAGUCGGCCUGCGCGGAAGAUGUAACGGGGCUAAGCUAUACACCGAAGCUGCGGCUACGUACCUUAGGGUGCGUGGGGUAUCAGAAGUGCGAAUGCUGACAUGAGUAACGAUAAAGGGAGUGAAAAACUCCCUCGCCGGAAGACCAAGGGUUCCUGUCCAACGUUAAUCGGGGCAGGGUAAGUCGACUCCUAAGGCGAGGCCGAAAGGCGUAGUCGAUGGGAAACGGGUUAAUAUUCCCGUACUUCUUACAAUGGGGGACGGAGAAGGCUAGGUGGGCCUGGCGACGGUUGUCCAGGUUCAAGUACGUAGGCGGAAAGUUUAGGUAAAUCCGGACUUUCUUAACGCUGAGAUACGAUGUCGAGCUACUACGGUAGUGAAGUCAUUGAUGCCAUGCUUCCAGGAAAAGCCUCUAAGCUUCAGAUUGUAAGGAAUCGUACCCCAAACCGACACAGGUGGUCGGGUAGAGAAUACCAAGGCGCUUGAGAGAACUCGGUGAAGGAACUAGGCAAAAUGGUACCGUAACUUCGGGAGAAGGUACGCUCUUAUCAGUGAAGUCCCUUGCGGAUGGAGCAGACGAGAGUCGCAGAUACCAGGUGGCUGCAACUGUUUAUUAAAAACACAGCACUGUGCAAAAUCGUAAGAUGACGUAUACGGUGUGACGCCUGCCCGGUGCCGGAAGGUUAAUUGAUGGGGUUAGUCUUCGGACGAAGCUCUUGAUCGAAGCCCCGGUAAACGGCGGCCGUAACUAUAACGGUCCUAAGGUAGCGAAAUUCCUUGUCGGGUAAGUUCCGACCUGCACGAAUGGCGUAAUGAUGGCCACGCUGUCUCCACCCGAGACUCAGUGAAAUUGAAAUCGCUGUGAAGAUGCAGUGUACCCGCGGCUAGACGGAAAGACCCCGUGAACCUUUACUACAGCUUGGCACUGAACAUUGAACCUACAUGUGUAGGAUAGGUGGGAGACUAUGAAAUUGCGUCGCUAGAUGUGAUGGAGUCGUCCUUGAAAUACCACCCUUGUAGUUUUGAUGUUCUAACGUUGGUCCCUGAAUCGGGAUUACGGACAGUGCCUGGUGGGUAGUUUGACUGGGGCGGUCUCCUCCCAAAGAGUAACGGAGGAGCACGAAGGUGGGCUAAACACGGUUGGACAUCGUGUGGUUAGUGCAAUGGCAUAAGCCCGCUUGACUGCGAGAAUGACAAUUCGAGCAGGUGCGAAAGCAGGUCAUAGUGAUCCGGUGGUUCUGAAUGGAAGGGCCAUCGCUCAACGGAUAAAAGGUACUCCGGGGAUAACAGGCUGAUACCGCCCAAGAGUUCAUAUCGACGGCGGUGUUUGGCACCUCGAUGUCGGCUCAUCACAUCCUGGGGCUGAAGUCGGUCCCAAGGUAUGGCUGUUCGCCAUUUAAAGUGGUACGCGAGCUGGGUUUAGAACGUCGUGAGACAGUUCGGUCCUAUCUGCCGUGGGCGUUGGAAAAUUGAAAGGGGCUGCUCCUAGUACGAGAGGACCGGAGUGGACGAACCUCUGGUGUUCGGUUGUCAUGCCAAUGGCAUUGCCCGGUAGCUAAGUUCGGAAUCGAUAACCGCUGAAAGCAUCUAAGCGGGAAGCGAGCCUUGAGAUGAGUUUUCCCUGGCACUAUAAGUGUCCUAAAGGGUUGUCGUAGACUACGACGUUGAUAGGCAGGGUGUGUAAGUGCUGCGAGGCAUUGAGCUAACCUGUACUAAUUGCCCGUGAGGCUUAACCAUACAACACCCAAGGGGUUU
RNAcentral lists this ribosomal RNA (2853 nucleotides) under Vibrio crassostreae 9CS106. RNAcentral describes it as "bacterial LSU rRNA". It matches the Rfam family "Bacterial large subunit ribosomal RNA". Lineage: Bacteria; Pseudomonadati; Pseudomonadota; Gammaproteobacteria; Vibrionales; Vibrionaceae. The record is from RNAcentral.